Long non-coding RNA from Erinaceus europaeus (western European hedgehog), 242 nucleotides. RefSeq lists it as uncharacterized. Lineage: Eukaryota; Metazoa; Chordata; Mammalia; Eulipotyphla; Erinaceidae. The transcript is spliced from 3 exons. The record is from RefSeq and is a predicted model, not a curated record.
GGCUAGGCUAAGUAGCUGCUUCCUCAGCUUCCAGGGACCUUUGCUCAUCUGGUUGUGCCAGUGGAUGAAGGACCUCCAGUUCAGCAACACAGCUGCUGGUGACCAUGUCGUGAGCCUUAUCUACGAAAGGCUACUGAGCUCCACAGGGGUGCCUGUUCCCUCAGACUCAGCAUGCUUGCAGUGGGAUAGGGCUCUGGAGAGGUGAGGUUCCAGGACAUAAUACUGAAGUCAUCUGCCCAGGU